This 484-nucleotide ribosomal RNA is filed under the name uncultured bacterium. RNAcentral's name for it is "partial 16S ribosomal RNA". It matches the Rfam family "Bacterial small subunit ribosomal RNA", at positions 30 to 507 of the family's 1533-position model. The record is from RNAcentral.
AUUGAACGCUGGCGGCAGGCCUAACACAUGCAAGUCGAGCGGAUGAAGGGAGCUUGUUCCUGGAUUCAGCGGCGGACGGGUGAGUAAUGCCUAGGAAUCUGCCUGGUAGUGGGGGAUAACGUCCGGAAACGGGCGCUACUACUGCAUACGACCUGAGGGAGAAAGUGGGGGAUCUUCGGACCUCACGCUAUCAGAUGAGCCUAGGUCGGAGUAGCUAGUUGGUGGGGUAAAGGCCUACCAAGGCGACGAUCCGUAACUGGUCUGAGAGGAUGAUCAGUCACACUAGAACUGAGACACGGUCCAGACUCCUACGGGAGGGAGCAGUGGGGAAUAUUGGACAAUGGGCGAAAGCCUGACCCAGCCAUGCCGCGUGUGUGAAGAAGGUCUUCGGAUUGUAAAGCACGUUAAGUUGGGAGGAAGGGCAGUAAGUUAAUACCUUGCUGGUUUGACGUUACCAACAGAAUAAGCACCGGCUAACUUCGUG